CUUGAAUAUCAAAUUCAUUAUGAAUUACGAGUACAAUUUAGUACAAUAUAAUAUAAUAAACUAAACACUACAAUAAUAAACCUUUACCUACUCGUACGAGUAAUAGUUACGUAAUAAUCUCCAAUUGAUUCCACCUAAAAUUUGGACUUUAAUAUCUAGUAAUAAUCAGGAAGGCUAUGUUAUAAAAAUAUUCAUUCGAAAAUGUAUUAAACCAUAUAACUUUAUUUCAUCACAAUAAUAGUGCUGGUAGUGUCACAUGACCUAUGGCAUGGAGCUCCUGCGGCCCCGUAGUGCUGGCGGUGCUCAUGUUCCACCUCGUCGGCACCAUCUUCGAGAGCAGGCUCGAAACACUCAUACGGCGAGUUUUGCAACGCGGCCCACUACAAAUGCAAGCUAAUCAGUCUAACCAGCCAAGCAACCAAGCAUCAGAUCCAUCACUAAAUGAACAACGGACACGUAGCACUAGAAGUUCACCAACGCUUCGUCAAUGCAGUGCAAUGACGAGCAAUUCCACCAUUUUUAACAGACCCAUUACAUCUAGGAGUGCUGAUGAUAUACCUACACUACCAACGCUCAAACUUACCUUGAGAUCUAAGUCCAACACAUGCGUUUAAAGUAGAUAGGUCAAUGUCAAUGCUUUACCAGCAGGGUUAUUACGUAUCUCGGUGUGCCAUUCAAAUAAUGAGUGACUACAUAGCUUUUCAACGUAUUUUCGCUAUUACUAUUACUAUACCAAUGUAAAGUUACGUAAAAUAAGGAUAACUAUGUAAUUUCAUUGUAAAAACAAAGCUUGAUGAUUGCAAAUACGAAAACACGAUGAAAAACUAUGUAGUGACUUUAUUUAAAUGGUACACUGAGAUACAUAAUAACCCUCCUGAUUUAUUUACAUACGUCGGCACUACAACCUUUUUAGGUCUUCGCCUGGUCAACCACUUGUUCUAACACAAAAAACAGGGAUAACAGAAAGGAUUGUUUUGCACUUUUGCCCAUUCAUUUCUGUUCUUUACCUUUUUUCUACACACACAUUUUCCCCAUUAGGUCUUCUUUCAUACAAGCUAACCAUCUUUUUUAACUUCUUCCUUCUUAUCUUUUUCCUGAGCCUUCAAUUUUGUCAUAACUUUCUGGUUCUCUAGUAAUCGACAUCUUCUCUACGUCACCAGCCACUGAAGGCGUUGUCCGCCUGAUUUACACUGAGAAAAUUUGGAAUGCCCUUCAAGCUUUCUAUUUCCCUAUCACCUACAAUCCUCAAUCAAGAAAGUGAGCAAGUAGGUACAGAUCCAUGCGUACGGUCUACACUUCUACCUGCAUUUUCGCUUACCGUCUGCGGCGUUAUUCAUAAACUAUUCUGUGAACUUUUAAAAACAUCGGAAUAUUGAACCGCAACAGACAAAGAAAAGAAUAGAGUAGGAGUGGUUGAAGAUUACCUACCAUGAGGGAUUACGCAGGACGGUUGAGGGUUUUUCAAGGUGGAAGGGAAAGGUAUUGCUUUUCAAUAAGUUCCGUGAUCUUGAUUUCUCCACGCUUACUAUAUUCGCUUUAUUGUCUCAUUGAAGGAAAUUAAAUUAAAACGUGUACCUACUACCUAUUAUAUCGAUAUAAAAAAAUCACUGAUCAAUAAAA
Long non-coding RNA from Bicyclus anynana (squinting bush brown), 1620 nucleotides. RefSeq lists it as uncharacterized. NCBI's taxonomy places the organism in Eukaryota, Metazoa, Arthropoda, Insecta, Lepidoptera, Nymphalidae. The transcript is spliced from 3 exons. The record is from RefSeq and is a predicted model, not a curated record.